UACGGAGGGUGCGAGCGUUGUCCGGAAUCACUGGGCGUAAAGGGCGCGUAGGCGGGCUCGCCAGUCAGGGGUGAAAGCCUCCAGCUCAACUGGAGAAGUGCCUUUGAUACUGCGAGCCUCGAGGGAGGUAGGGGCGUGCGGAACUUCCGGUGGAGCGGUGAAAUGCGUAGAUAUCGGAAGGAACACCGGUGGCGAAAGCGGCGCGCUGGACCUCUUCUGACGCUGAGGCGCGAAAGCCAGGGGAGCAAACGGG
This 253-nucleotide ribosomal RNA is filed under the name uncultured bacterium. RNAcentral describes it as "partial 16S ribosomal RNA". It matches the Rfam family "Bacterial small subunit ribosomal RNA", at positions 524 to 776 of the family's 1533-position model. The record is from RNAcentral.